AUACGUAGGGGGCGAGCGUUGUCCGGAAUGAUUGGGCGUAAAGGGCGCGUAGGCGGCGCGGUAAGUCUGGAGUGAAAGUCCUGCUUUCAAGGUGGGAAUUGCUUUGGAUCCUGCCGCGCUUGAGUGCAGGAGAGGUUAUCGGAAUUCCCGGGGUAGCGGUGAAAUGCGUAGAGAUCGGGAGGAACACCAGUGGCGAAGGCGGGUAACCGGACUGCAACUGACGCUGAGGCGCGAAAGUGUGGGGAGCAAACAGGAUUAGAUACCCUGGUAGUCCACACUGUAAACGAUGAAUGCUAGGUGUAAGAGGUAUCGACCCCUUUUGUGCCGGAGUCAACACAAUAAGCAUUCCGCCUGGGGAGUACGGCCGCAAGGUUGAAACUCAAAGGAAUUGACGGGG
RNAcentral lists this ribosomal RNA (397 nucleotides) under uncultured bacterium. Its description in RNAcentral is "partial 16S ribosomal RNA". It matches the Rfam family "Bacterial small subunit ribosomal RNA", at positions 523 to 918 of the family's 1533-position model. The record is from RNAcentral.